GUGCUUGCAUUGGCAGCACCUAUACUAAAAUUGGAAUGAUAGAGAAUAUUAGCAUAGCCCUUGAGCAAGGGAGACACACAAAUUCAUGAAGCAUUAGAUAUUUUU
Molecule: small nuclear RNA, 105 nt
Organism: Suncus etruscus (white-toothed pygmy shrew)
Lineage: Eukaryota; Metazoa; Chordata; Mammalia; Eulipotyphla; Soricidae
Source: RefSeq, a predicted model, not a curated record